Molecule: non-coding RNA, 104 nt
Organism: Jatropha curcas
Lineage: Eukaryota; Viridiplantae; Streptophyta; Magnoliopsida; Malpighiales; Euphorbiaceae
Source: Rfam
AUUUUAUGAUGAGGGCACUUUCUCAACAAGUCCUUGAACAUUUCCCAUGCCUCAUUAUUGGCUCAGUCUCACCCUGUACAAAAGAAGAAACUUCAUUUAAUAUU